This 815-nucleotide ribosomal RNA is filed under the name uncultured organism. RNAcentral's name for it is "bacterial SSU rRNA". It matches the Rfam family "Bacterial small subunit ribosomal RNA", at positions 8 to 797 of the family's 1533-position model. The record is from RNAcentral.
AGAGUUGAUCCUGGCUCAGAAUGAACGCUGGCGGCGUGCUUAACACAUGCAGUCGCACGAGAACACCUCAGCUUGCUGGGGUAAGUAAAGUGGCGCACGGGUGAGUAACGCGUGGGUAAUCUGCCCCUGAAUCUGGGAUAAUGCUGCGAAAGCGGUGCUAAUAUCGGAUGACAUCGAAUUGACUUCGGUUGAUUGGAUCAAAGGUAGCCACUCCAUGGAAGCUACUGUUUGGGGAUGAGNCCGCGUAUCAUUAGNUUGUUGGUAUGGUAAAGGGGUACAAGGCGACGAUGGUUAGCUGGUCCGAGAGGAUGAUCAGNCACACUGGAACUGGAACACGGUCCAGACUCCUACGGGAGGCAGCAGUGAGGAAUUUUGCGCAAUGAGGGAAACCUUGACGCAGCAACGCCGCGUGAGUGAUGAAGGCUUUCGGGUCGUAAAGCUCUGUCAAGUGGGAAGAAAUCCCGGGAAGUGAACAGUUUUUCGGGUUGACGGUACCACUGAAGGAAGCACCGGCUAACUCCGUGCCAGCAGCCGCGGUAAUACGGAGGGUGCGAGCGUUAUUCGGAAUUACUGGGCGUAAAGGGCGCGCAGGCGGUCAUGUAAGUCAGAUGUGAAAGCCCGGGGCUUAACCCUGGAAGUGCAUUUGAAACUGUGUGACUUGAGUAUGGGAGAGGGAAGCGGAAUUCCUGGUGUAGCGGUGAAAUGCGUAGAUCUCAGGAGGAACACCCGUGGCGAAGGCGGCUUCCUGGACCAAUACUGACGCUGAGGCGCGAAGGCGUGGGGAGCAAACCAGGAUUAGAUACCCUGGUAGUCCA